Molecule: ribosomal RNA, 253 nt
Filed under: uncultured bacterium
Lineage: Bacteria
Description: partial 16S ribosomal RNA
Rfam family: Bacterial small subunit ribosomal RNA
Source: RNAcentral
UACAGGGGGUGCAAACGUUGCUCGGAAUCAUUGGGCGUAAAGCGCGCGUAGGCGGUUACUUAAGUCGGAUGUGAAAGCCCUCGGCUCAACUGAGGAAGUGCAUCCGAAACUGAGUAGCUUGAGUACGAAAGAGGGUCGCGGAAUUCCCGGUGUAGAGGUGAAAUGCGCAGAUAUCAGGAGGAACACCGGUGGCGAAGGCGGGUCUCUGGGCCGAUACUGACGCUGAGGAGCGAAAGCGUGGGGAGCAAACAGG